This 72-nucleotide transfer RNA is filed under the name Heliconius melpomene (postman butterfly). RNAcentral's name for it is "tRNA HMEL016500". It matches the Rfam family "tRNA". From Rfam's summary of the family: Transfer RNA (tRNA) molecules are approximately 80 nucleotides in length. Lineage: Eukaryota; Metazoa; Arthropoda; Insecta; Lepidoptera; Nymphalidae. The record is from RNAcentral.
GAACGUAUGGCUUAGUGGUUAGAAUGUUUGGACUGUUUCCAAGAGGCGCGUGUUCAAAUCUCGCUACGUUAA